GCGGCGCGGGUCCCCCAUAUGCUGAGCGCCGGUCCCCUGGGCCCACUUUUCUUUCUCUAUACUUUGUCUCUGUGUCUUUCUUUUCUCAAGUCUCUCGUUCCACCUGAGGAGAAAUGCCCACAGCUGUGGAGGCGCAGGCCACUCCUUCAUCUGGUGCCCAACGUGGGUGCUUUCUCUAGGGUGAAGGGAGGCUCGAGUGUGGUCAUUGAGGACAAGUCAACGAGAGAUUCCCGAGUACGUCUACUGAGCCUUGUGGGUGAAGGUACUCUACAGCGUGGUCAUUGAGGACAAGUCGACGAGAGAGUCCCAAGUACGUCCACGGUCAGCCUUGCGGUAAGCUUGUGUGCUUAGAGGAACCCAGGGUAACAAUGGGGCAAACUGAAAGUAAAUACGCCUCUUAUCUCAGCCUUAUUAAAAUCCUUUUAAGAAGAGGGGGAGUUAGAGCUUCUACAGAAAAUCUAAUUACGCUAUUUCAAACUAUAGAACAAUUCUGCCCAUGGUUUCCAGAACAGGGAACUUUAGAUCUAAAAGAUUGGGAAAAAAUUGGCAAAGAAUUAAAACAAGCAAAUAGGGAAGGUAAAAUCAUCCCACUUACAGUAUGGAAUGAUUGGGCCAUUAUUAAAGCAACUUUAGAACCAUUUCAAACAGGAGAAGAUAGUGUUUCAGUUUCUGAUGCCCCUAAAAGCUGUGUAACAGAUUGUGAAGAAGAGGCAGGGACAGAAUCCCAGCAAGGAACGUAAAGUUCACAUUGUAAAUAUGUAGCAGAGUCUGUAAUGGCUCAGUCAACGCAAAAUGUUGACUACAGUCAAUUACAGGAGAUAAUAUAUCCUGAAUCAUCAAAAUUGGGGGAAGGAGGUCCAGAAUCAUUGGGGCCAUCAGAGCCUAAAUCACGAUCGCCAUCAACUCCUCCCGCGGUUCAGAUGCCUGUAACAUUACAACCUCAAACGCAGGUUAGACAAGCACAAACCCCAA
Molecule: long non-coding RNA, 972 nt
Filed under: Pan troglodytes (chimpanzee)
Lineage: Eukaryota; Metazoa; Chordata; Mammalia; Primates; Hominidae
Description: lincRNA
Source: RNAcentral